This 442-nucleotide ribosomal RNA is filed under the name uncultured bacterium. Its description in RNAcentral is "partial 16S ribosomal RNA". It matches the Rfam family "Bacterial small subunit ribosomal RNA", at positions 338 to 795 of the family's 1533-position model. The record is from RNAcentral.
CCUACGGGUGGCAGCAGUAGGGAAUCUUUCACAAUGGGCGAAAGCCUGAUGGAGCAACGCCGCGUGCAGGAUGAAGGCCUUCGGGUUGUAAACUGCUUUUAUAAGCGAGAAAUAUGAUGGUAACUUAUGAAUAAGGAUCGGCUAACUACGUGCCAGCAGCCGACGUCAUACGUAGGAUCCGAGCAUUAUCCGGAGUGAAUGGGGGUAAAGAGUUGCGUAGGUGGCAUAAUAAGUAGCUAGUGAAAUCUGGUGGCUCAACCAUUCAGACUAUUAGCUAAACUGUUAAGCUCGAGACCGUUAGGGGUAACUGGAAUUUCUAGUGUAGGAGUGAAAUCCGUAGAUAUUAGAAGGAACACCAAUAGCGUAGGCAGGUUGCUGGGACGGUUCUGACACUAAGGCACGAAAGCGUAGGGAGCAAACGGGAUUAGAUACCCGAGUAGUC